UAGUCCACGCCGUAAACGAUCAUCACUCGCUGUUGGCGAUAUACUGUCAGCGGCCAAGCGAAAGUAUUAAGUGAUGCACCUGGGGAGUACGCCGGCAACGGUGAAACUCAAAGGAAUUGACGGGGGCCCGCACAAGCGGUGGAGCAUGUGGUUUAAUUCGAUGAUACGCGAGGAACCUUACCAGGGCUUAAAUGUAGUAUGACCGGUCUGGAAACAGGCCUUCUCUUCGGAGCAGAUUACAAGGUGCUGCAUGGUUGUCGUCAGCUCGUGCCGUGAGGUGUUAGGUUAAGUCCUGCAACGAGCGCAACCCCUAUUCUUAGUUGCCAGCGGUUCGGCCGGGGACUCUGAAAGAACUGCCAGUGAUAAGCUGGAGGAAGGUGGGGAUGACGUCAAGUCCUCAUGGGGCCCUUACGUGUUGGGGCUACACACGUGCUACAAUGGGUAUCUACAACAGGAAGCAAGACGGCGACGUUAAGCAAAUCCCUAAAAGAUACCUCAGUUCGGGAUUGC
RNAcentral lists this ribosomal RNA (510 nucleotides) under uncultured bacterium. Its description in RNAcentral is "bacterial SSU rRNA". It matches the Rfam family "Bacterial small subunit ribosomal RNA", at positions 791 to 1301 of the family's 1533-position model. The record is from RNAcentral.